This 440-nucleotide ribosomal RNA is filed under the name uncultured bacterium. RNAcentral describes it as "partial 16S ribosomal RNA". It matches the Rfam family "Bacterial small subunit ribosomal RNA", at positions 338 to 795 of the family's 1533-position model. The record is from RNAcentral.
CCUACGGGAGGCAGCAGUAGGGAAUAUUGCUCAAUGGGGGCUACCCUGAAGCAGCAACGCCGCGUGGAGGAUGAAUGUCUUCGGAUUGUAAACUCCUUUUGUUAGAGAAGAUAAUGACGGUAUCUAACGAAUAAGCACCGGCUGACUCCGUGCCAGCAGCCGCGGUAAUACGGAGGGUGCAAGCGUUACUCGGAAUCACUGGGCGUAAAGGGCGCGUAGGCGGGUUAGCAAGUCAGAUGUGAAAUCCUAUGGCUUAACCAUAGAACUGCAUUUGAAACUGUUAUUCUAGAGUAUGGGAGAGGUAGGUGGAAUUCUUGGUGUAGGGGUAAAAUCCGUAGAGAUCAAGAGGAAUACUCAUUGCGAAGGCGACCUGCUAGAACAUAACUGACGCUGAUGCGCGAAAGCGUGGGGAGCAAACAGGAUUAGAUACCCGAGUAGUC